AGUGAACGCUGGCGGUAGGCCUAACACAUGCAAGUCGAACGGCAGCACAGUAAUAGCUUGCUCUUACGGGUGGCGAGUGGCGGACGGGUGCGGAAUACAUCGGAAUCUACUUUUUCGUGGGGGCUAACGUAGGGAAACUUACGCUAAUACCGCAUACGACCUACGGGUGAAAGCAGGGGAUCUUCGGACCUUGCGCGAUUGAAUGAGCCGAGGUCGGAUUAGCUAGUUGGCGGGGUAAAGGCCCACCAAGGCGACGAUCCGUAGCUGGUCUGAGAGGAUGAUCAGCCACACUGGAACUGAGACACGGUCCAGACUCCUACGGGAGGCAGCAGUGGGGAAUAUUGGACAAUGGGCGCAAGCCUGAUCCAGCCAUGCCGCGUGGGUGAAGAAGGCCUUCGGGUUGUAAAGCCCUUUUGGUGGGAAAGAAAAGCAGCAGGUUAAUACCCCGCUGUUCUGACGGUACCCAAAGAAUAAGCACCGGCUAACUUCGUG
RNAcentral lists this ribosomal RNA (492 nucleotides) under uncultured bacterium. RNAcentral's name for it is "partial 16S ribosomal RNA". It matches the Rfam family "Bacterial small subunit ribosomal RNA", at positions 29 to 507 of the family's 1533-position model. The record is from RNAcentral.